UGGACAUAUUAUUGUAUUCGAUUGUAUUCACGGCGUGAAACAUGGGAUUACACUAUUUCUAAACGGAAAGUGAAUUAAUUAACAUAAUAGACUCCU
Molecule: microRNA precursor, 96 nt
Filed under: Nicotiana attenuata
Lineage: Eukaryota; Viridiplantae; Streptophyta; Magnoliopsida; Solanales; Solanaceae
Description: MIR6152 microRNA precursor family
Rfam family: MIR6152 microRNA precursor family
Source: Rfam by way of RNAcentral